UCUACGGGGCGCAGCAGUGGGGAAUAUUGGACAAUGGGCGAAAGCCUGAUCCAGCCAUGCCGCGUGUGUGAAGAAGGCCUUCGGGUUGUAAAGCACUUUCAGUGGGGAAGAAAGCCUUGGGGCUAAUACCCUCGAGGAAGGACAUCACCCACAGAAGAAGCACCGGCUAACUCCGUGCCAGCAGCCGCGGUAAUACGGAGGGUGCGAGCGUUAAUCGGAAUUACUGGGCGUAAAGCGCGCGUAGGCGGUCUGAUAAGCCGGUUGUGAAAGCCCCGGGCUCAACCUGGGAACGGCAUCCGGAACUGUCAGGCUAGAGUGCAGGAGAGGAAGGUAGAAUUCCCGGUGUAGCGGUGAAAUGCGUAGAGAUCGGGAGGAAUACCAGUGGCGAAGGCGGCCUUCUGGACUGACACUGACGCUGAGGUGCGAAAGCGUGGGUAGCAAACAGGAUUAGAUACCCUUGUAGUC
Molecule: ribosomal RNA, 465 nt
Filed under: Vreelandella stevensii
Lineage: Bacteria; Pseudomonadati; Pseudomonadota; Gammaproteobacteria; Oceanospirillales; Halomonadaceae
Description: partial 16S ribosomal RNA
Rfam family: Bacterial small subunit ribosomal RNA
Source: RNAcentral